This 460-nucleotide ribosomal RNA is filed under the name uncultured bacterium. RNAcentral's name for it is "partial 16S ribosomal RNA". It matches the Rfam family "Bacterial small subunit ribosomal RNA", at positions 338 to 795 of the family's 1533-position model. The record is from RNAcentral.
CCUACGGGAGGCAGCAGUGAGGAAUAUUGGUCAAUGGACGCAAGUCUGAACCAGCCAUGCCGCGUGCAGGAAGACGGCCCUAUGAGUUGUAAACUGCUUUUUUACGAGGGUAAACGCAGAUACGCGUAUCUGUCUGAAAGUAUCGUACGAAUACGGAUCGGCUAACUCCGUGCCAGCAGCCGCGGUACUACGGAGGAUUCAAGCGUUAUCCGGAUUUAUUGGGUUUAAAGGGUGCGUAGGCGGUCGGAUAAGUUAGAGGUGAAAUCCCGAGGCUCAACUUCGGAAUUGCCUCUGAUACAGUGCGGCUAGAGAGUAGUUGCGGUAGGCGGAAUGUAUGGUGUAGCGGUGAAAUGCUUAGAGAUCAUACAGAACGCCGAUUGCGAAGGCAGCUUACCAAGCUACUUCUGACGUUGAGGCACGAAAGCGUGGGGAGCAAACAGGAUUAGAUACCCUAGUAGUC